RNAcentral lists this ribosomal RNA (253 nucleotides) under uncultured bacterium. Its description in RNAcentral is "partial 16S ribosomal RNA". It matches the Rfam family "Bacterial small subunit ribosomal RNA", at positions 524 to 776 of the family's 1533-position model. The record is from RNAcentral.
UACAGAGGGUGCAAGCGUUAAUCGGAAUUACUGGGCGUAAAGCGUGCGUAGACGGUUAUGUAAGUCGGGUGUGAAAGCCCCGGGCUCAACCUGGGAAUGCCAUUCGAGACUGCAUAGCUAGGGUGCGGAAGAGGGAAGCGGAAUUUCCGGUGUAGCGGUGAAAUGCGUAGAUAUCAGGAGGAACACCGGUGGUGUAAACGGCUUUCUGGACCGUAACUGACGCUGAUGCACGAAAGCGUGGGUAGCAAACAGG